UCUGGCUCAGGAUAAACGCUGGCGGCGCACAUAAGACAUGCAAGUCGAACGGACUUAACUCUUCUUUUAGAUUGAGAGCGGUUAGUGGCGGACUGGUGAGUAACACGUAAGCAACCUGCCUAUUAGAGGGGAAUAACAGUGAGAAAUCAUUGCUAAUACCGCAUAAGCUGAUGGUAUCGCAUGAUACAGUCAGAAAAGGAGUAAUCCGCUAAUAGAUGGGCUUGCGUCUGAUUAGCUAGUUGGUGGGGUAACGGCCUACCAAGGCGACGAUCAGUAGCCGAGCUGAGAGGCUCUACGGCCACAUUGGGACUGAGAUACGGCCCAGACUCCUACGGGAGGCAGCAGUCGGGAAUAUUGCGCAAUGGAGGAAACUCUGAACCGCAGUGACGCCGCGUAUAGGAUGAAGGUUUUCGGAUUGUAAACUAUUGUCGUUAGGGAAGAAAUUUGACAGUACCUAAGGAGGAAGCUCCGGCUAACUAUGUGCCAGCAGCAGC
This 494-nucleotide ribosomal RNA is filed under the name uncultured bacterium. RNAcentral describes it as "bacterial SSU rRNA". It matches the Rfam family "Bacterial small subunit ribosomal RNA", at positions 18 to 518 of the family's 1533-position model. The record is from RNAcentral.